AAGAAAAUUCUAAGACAUGUACGUUAGAUUAACAAAAAUUUUUAUAAAGCAGAAGAGAUCUAAUCUAACAUACAUCUUUGAUCACAUUCAUAAAGCCAUAUAUAUCAUGUCCUUAAGAUCAAAACAUAAAAUAAACUAACAUAACCAUGAAGAUCAGAUCUUCACCUUAGCGUGGAUAGAUAUUCACCGUAAUUUGAUAAUUAUGGAUAUCUUUUCGGAU
This 220-nucleotide long non-coding RNA is filed under the name Elaeis guineensis (African oil palm). RNAcentral's name for it is "long non-coding RNA (EGUI_LNC022866)". The record is from RNAcentral. Lineage: Eukaryota; Viridiplantae; Streptophyta; Magnoliopsida; Arecales; Arecaceae.